RNAcentral lists this transfer RNA (60 nucleotides) under Streptococcus sobrinus. RNAcentral describes it as "tRNA-Asn(gtt)". It matches the Rfam family "tRNA", at positions 8 to 63 of the family's 71-position model. Rfam says of the family: Transfer RNA (tRNA) molecules are approximately 80 nucleotides in length. Their secondary structure includes four short double-helical elements and three loops (D, anti-codon, and T loops). Lineage: Bacteria; Bacillati; Bacillota; Bacilli; Lactobacillales; Streptococcaceae. The record is from RNAcentral. RNAcentral also lists the same sequence under 2 other names.
UAGCUCAGUUGGUAGUAGCGCAUGACUGUUAAUCAUGAUGUCGUAGGUUCGAGUCCUACU